UACGUAGGGUGCGAGCGUUAAUCGGAAUUACUGGGCGUAAAGCGUGCGCAGGCGGUUUGUCAAGUCUUGUGUGAAAGCCCCGGGCUCAACCUGGGAAUGGCAUGGGAAACUGGCGAGCUGGAGUGCGGCAGAGGGGGGUGGAAUUCCGCGUGUAGCAGUGAAAUGCGUAGAGAUGCGGAGGAACACCGAUGGCGAAGGCAGCCCCCUGGGUCGACACUGACGCUCAGGCACGAAAGCGUGGGGAGCAAACAGG
Molecule: ribosomal RNA, 253 nt
Filed under: uncultured bacterium
Lineage: Bacteria
Description: partial 16S ribosomal RNA
Rfam family: Bacterial small subunit ribosomal RNA
Source: RNAcentral